AGGAAAGUGGCCCAGCUGAUUUGAGUUCUUCAUAACAGGGAAUGUGCUACAUGCAUAAGAGUGAUUGGAAAAUACUUAUGUCAAAAGCAAUUCUGCAUAAGGAAAAAGGCAAUGUUUAUUUCAACAGGGUCUGGACUUCAACAGAUUUCCAGCUCCUCAGCUCUUUUUUUUUUGUGUACCGGAAGUAUGGAACUUUCCCUCUUAAUAGGCUGAUUCGGUAGGAAUUAUUAACAUCUCAAGAUUUUUGUUGGAUAAGCAUAUCAAGGAAUGUGGAACAAAGGCUCUUUGAAUCAAAAAGAAACCAGAACAUAAUUAUAUUCCGGGCACAAAGUCUUGCAGGACAUGAUCACGGCUCAUGAACUUUACAUUACUGGGGAGAUUCUGUGAUUCAGGAUCAUUUCCUGGCUUUGGACCAGUUGAAUAAGGUAAGGCAAUUUCAUCCUGUUCAGGAGUCUGUGGUAGGAAGUCAUCAACCAAAAGACUAAGAAUAUACCAGAAGAAAUGACCGAGGGAUGUGAGAAAUUUGAAAAACUAGCUCAAGUAAG
Long non-coding RNA from Stegostoma tigrinum, 545 nucleotides. RefSeq lists it as uncharacterized. The transcript has 3 exons. The record is from RefSeq and is a predicted model, not a curated record. Lineage: Eukaryota; Metazoa; Chordata; Chondrichthyes; Orectolobiformes; Stegostomatidae.